Molecule: unclassified non-coding RNA, 1776 nt
Filed under: Leishmania donovani
Lineage: Eukaryota; Euglenozoa; Kinetoplastea; Trypanosomatida; Trypanosomatidae
Description: gene:LdHU3.01.0690(CDS-product:KREL1)
Source: RNAcentral
CCCACUCCGCAUACGUGCACACACCUAUACGCCCUUCGUUGCUCACAUCUUCACUGCUUUGUGGUCCUCAUGCGUCGACUGGCACUGCGCCGCGCACCACGCUGCAGUCAUGCCACCCUGUGCAGCAGUCGCGGAAGCGGCAGCGUCUUGAGGCGCCAGGCAUCGGCGCUAUUAUCGGCGACCGCCGUCUCUCCGCCAUGCCUCUCUACCACCAGCACCACCACCUCGUCGCAGAGUCUCGCCACGCCGCGCCGCUGUUACAUGCCGCUUCCCCAAAACCAAGAGGACUUCUCGGCCUACGCGGAGAUCGAUCUGCCGACGGAGACGCGCAUAGACGCGAUUCGGCGCACGGGCAUCGCGAGCCAGGAGUGGGUGGCGUGCGAGAAGGUGCACGGCACAAACUUCGCCAUCUACCUCAUCAACGAAAGCGAGGUGCGAUUCGCGAAGCGCAGCGGCAUCAUGGACCCGAGCGAGAACUUCUUCGGCUACCACCUCCUCAUCGACGACUUCACGGCGCAGGUCCGCGCGUUGUGUGCGCUGCUGAAGCGCAAGUACGGCGUGACGGGCCGCAUGGGCCGUGUCGUGCUGCACGGGGAGCUGUUCGGUGCCAAGUACAAGCAUCCGCUGGUGCCCAAGAGUACCAAGUGGUGCACGCUGCCGAAUAAGAAGCGAAUUCCGAUCUCGGGGGUGGAGAUACAGAGCGAGCCGUUCCCGCAGUACAGCCCGGAGCUGCACUACUUCGCAUUCGACGUCAAGUACUCCGUCUCGGGUGCCGAGGAGGAUGUGGUGCUGCUGCCCUUCGACGACUUCACGGAGGUGUGCUCGCAGGUGCCGAAUCUCCUGUACGCGAAGCCGCUGGUGCGCGGCACGCUGGAUGAAUGCCUCGCCUUUGACGUGGAGAACUUCAUCACACCGCUGCCCGCGCUGCUCGGGCUGGGCAACUACCCGCUCGAAGGCAACCUCGCCGAGGGUGUCGUCAUCCGCCACGUGCGCCGCGGCGAUCCGGCGGUGGAGAGCAGCGGGGUCUCGACAAUCAUCAAGCUGCGCUGCUCUUCCUUCAUGGAGCUCAAGCACCCCGGCAAGCAGCAGGAGCUGAAGGCGACGUUCCUCGACACCGUGCGUGCCGGCGCGCUGCAGCGCGUGCGCAAAGGCAAGAAGGUGACGGUGUUGGCGGACUCGAUGCUGCCGAAGCUGGAGGCGGCCGCGAACGCGCUGCUGCUGAACAACGUCAGCGAGGGUCGUCUGAGCAACGUGCUGUCGAAGAUCGGCCGCGAGCCGUUGCUGACCGGCGAAGUGAAGCAGGAAGAUGUCGUGCUGAUGCUCGCGCAGGACGCCCUGAAGGACUUCCUGAAGGAGACGGACCCGGUGGUGCUGAACACGUCGCUGUCGUUUCGCAAGACGCUGAUCCGCAGCGUGUACUUCGCGGCGGAAGAGCUGCUGCAGGGCGAAUGGAAGCGCGUCAUGGACCGGCUAAAGGCGUCGCAGACGGAGAUCGACGCCGCGAUUGCCGCGCAGGAGAAGGCAGAGGCGCAGUGAAGCUGUUGCUGUCGCUCUGUGGCAAGCCGGUAUGCGUCUCCUUGAUGAAUUUGUGUGUGUGCGCGCGCGCUCAGCAGCCCCUCCUGCUGCUGGAUAGCGUGGGGGAGGGGGAGGGGAAGCGAACGUACCCCCGCGCGGAUGCAAGACGGCGCGUGGCUGCCGUCAAACAGAGGAGCCGUCUCUACCACUAUUUUGCGCUGCUGCCUCUUCGCGGCGGCGCUUGCAUGCUGCACCAUAUAC